AUUGAACGCUGGCGGCAUGCCUUACACAUGCAAGUCGAACGGCAGCACGGGUGCUUGCACCUGGUGGCGAGUGGCGAACGGGUGAGUAAUACAUCGGAACUUACCUUAUCGUGGGGGAUAACGCAGCGAAAGCUGUGCUAAUACCGCAUACGCCCUGAGGGGGAAAGCGGGGGAUCGAAAGACCUCGCGCGAUUAGAGCGGCCGAUGCCUGAUUAGCUUGUUGGUGGGGUAAAAGCCCACCAAGGCGACGAUCAGUAGCUGGUCUGAGAGGACGAUCAGCCACACUGGGACUGGGACGCGGCCCAGACUCCUACGGGAGGCAGCAGUGGGGAAUUUUGGACAAUGGGGGCAACCCUGAUCCAGCAAUGCCGCGUGAGUGAAGAAGGCCUUCGGGUUGUAAAGCUCUUUUGUCAGGGAAGAAACACCGGCUCUAACACAGUCCGGGAAUGACGGUACCUGAAGAAUAAGCACCGGCUAACUACGUGCCAGCCGCCGCGGUAA
This 501-nucleotide ribosomal RNA is filed under the name uncultured bacterium. Its description in RNAcentral is "partial 16S ribosomal RNA". It matches the Rfam family "Bacterial small subunit ribosomal RNA", at positions 29 to 523 of the family's 1533-position model. The record is from RNAcentral.